GCCAAUCAGACCUUGGCGCGAUACAGAAAGACAGUGCACGAGCUGGAUGACGCAGAGGAGCGGGCUGGCAUGGCGGAGACUGCCCUCAACAAGCUGCGUACCAGGCACCGCGUGGCCGGCAAGGGCAUCACCUCCGUGGAGAUCAUCCAAGUGUCCAAGACAGGUUCCUCCAAAACCCUUUCUGAGGAGUAAGGUCCUCCAAGUCCGAGGCCACAGCCGGUAGGUGUGAACGCCACUCUCACUGCCGAGGUUCCAAUCUCACCUCCGCAGCACCUGCUUUGCUCCUGGUAGUGACCAGAGUGCCACCUAGUGGUGCUACCUAUGCUUUAAGGCUUGCAGUCUCUUGGGUCCUAAUCUCCUGCAACAGGAACCCUGUAGCUUCCCCCAUGCCUCAGUGGCAACACUCCUCUGGAUUCUCACACCCUUCCACUGGGUGCUGUCCACCUGUGUCACAGGUGCUGGUAGUGGAAGGUGCUGUCUGAGUAGAAGGCAGCUUCUGCAUGUGAUGCCACUGACCCUAGACCUGGAACACAGGUGCUCAGGAUACAUUUGCUUCUUUUUUUUUAGGGGUGGGGAGUUUACUGGGGAUUGAACUCAGGGGGACUCGACCACUGAGCCACAUUCCCAGCCCUAUUUUGCAUUUUAUUUAGAGACAGGGUCUCACUGAGUUGCUUAGCUCCUUGCCAUUGCUGAGGCUAGCUUUGACUCGAAAUCCUCCUGCCUCAGCCUCCCAAGCCACUAGGAUUACAGGCAUGCGCCACCAUGUCCAGCCAACACACUUGAUUUUUUUUAUCUUUUUCUUUGACAUGCUGGGGAUAGAAUCCAGGGUCUUGAACAUGCUAGGCAAGUACUAUACCACUGAGCUAUACCCCCAGCCCUCAACAUGCUUGUUUUCACUGGAGAGCCACAGGGGAUAUUGAUAAGCACAAGGGACAAUGAGCAAUCUUCUUUCACAUCCCCCACCAUAGCAUUCUUCAUGGAGAUUCUUUCGAGACUGGAUGAAUUUCAGUUUCUAACAUUAAGAAAAUAAUCACCCCUGUUGCAGCUACCAUUCCUUGAGCACUGAGUACAGGUGGGAUUUCAAGAGGACAACUUAAAAUAGCCCUUUCCUACUCCCUUUAAUUCAAAAACAAUUGAGAAAAAGAUAUAGGAAACAAAAAUAUAAAAUUCAAAUGCCCAUUCUAUGCUAUAAUUCUAGAUGAUAAAUCUAGAAUUAUAGCAUAGAAUAGGUUCUGUUGUGUGUUCACACAGACAUCCUUGUACUUCACCUCAGAAUUCACAGGCCAAGGACAGGUGGAUCCAAAGGCAGAGCAGAUAGGGCUCCGCCCUGUCUUCCUGCCUCCUCCUUCCAAGCAUAGGUUAAAUCUCUCCUCUCUCCAUGCAGAGAUGCAAGGGAAAGAUCAGGAGAGAAGUAAAGGACAUUAUUCUAGAGCAGUGUUUCCCAAAAACUUGGUCCCCUGGACCAGCAUCAUCCAGGUCACCCAGAAAGUUGUUAGAGAUACCUACUGGGCUUUGCUCCAGACCUACAGAACCAGCAUCUCUGGGGCUGGGUCCAGCAUCUGGAGUAUAUAUAGCAAGUCCUCCAUGUGACUCAGAUAAGUGAACAAGUCUAAGAACCACUGAUAUAGCUGGAAUCUGCCCUUCCAGAAACAGAGCCAGGGAACAGAGGUUUCUCCUACUUACACAAGAGCCAGGGACAUGGCAAAUGCUGCUCACUAUCUUAUUUACCCUAUGAGGUGGGUAUAAAUAUCCCCACAACUCAGAGAAGUCUGACUGCCCAUGGUCAUGCAAACCCCAUGUUCUGAAAAGGCAAAUUCUUUGUUUUUAAUUUGAAUUAUUAUGGAUAUUGAUAAGGUUGCCCUCUGCUUGGGAUUAACCAGAAUAGCUCAAAAUCAAGGGCUUGAUUCAGGUUGCGGAGGGGGGGGGGCAGGGGAGACAGAUGGUGUUUGGAGCAUAAACAUCAACCUGCAUGGAUUCUGGGGAUUACUUCUGGUCUUCUGCUUACAUCCAACAGGGCCUUUCACAGUCUCAUCCCUGCCUAUCCUGCUGGCUUCGGCUCCUACCACUCUCCAGCUCUCUCCCUCAUCUGAGCCCCUCUGCUGUAGUCAUGCUGUUCCCUUGUGAGAGUCCCACUUCUGCACUUUUGUGUGUGCGGGUCUCCUGUCUGGAAGGCCCUUCUCUCCUUUUUUUUGCCUGGUGAAGGAUCAGUUUUAUUUAUUCUUAUGUUAUAUUUACUUGGCCUUAUGUUCAAACAUCUGGUUGAAUCAUACUUACAGUUCACAAUCUCUCAGGAUCAACCCUCUGGCUUUUAGCCAAAAAGUGAUAACCCAGAUGACAUCUGAAUUCAAGCUUAGCCUUAUCUUUCCACUUGGUAGGGAGGAAACAAAAAUAAGGCACAAAAUCUUUUUUCUUAAUUUUCUAAUUCUGAAAUAAUAGCUCAGAAAGUUAAGGAAAUCAGAGGCUAUCUUUUGGAUAAGUCCUAUAAUUAACAUGUAACCAACUCCUUUAAGGGCAUUAAUCUGAUAGGUAUCCCUCCUGCUGGGCUCUCACUUGGGUGGGAUUAUUUAGGAGGCCAGUCAAUUGGCAUUUCAGCCUCUCGCACCUAAGUCUUAGCUUCCAAGAUUAAAUAACUUUUAAAGCAGAUUACCCUGCCCUGUUUUGGGGUCUUUAUUCCUGGGGUCUGCUGGCCUUGGGGGUCCAAUUGCUCUAUCAUAGCAAGACUCUGCUUCCAUGGCACCAGGCCAGUACUGCCACCAGUGUCCAGAGGUGAUGAGGCUGGGCAACUGGGGUCUGCUCUUCAUGUACUGAUCCACUUCCCUCCUUAGCCAUUUCCUCUUAUUGGUUACAGGGAUGGAUACAUCAUCUGUGCAAUGGAAUUCCUCAAGCAAACUAGCAAAUGAGCCAGGACCCUGCCUUCAUGUUCAUGAGCUACAACAGAAUUUAAUUUCUUAAAAUGGCAUCAUAUCUUUCCCACACAUAUUGACCCAGCUCUGAAUAUGGGCUAGGCCUGUGCUCUUGGAUUCAGAGGUGAAUAAGAAAGAAUGUCCUCCCCUGAGAUACUCAGAAUCAGGCGGAGCAGUAGAUGUAUGCAUCAGUCACGAAAAGCAUGCAAGCCAAUGUUCCGUGAUAUACUGUUUGCAUUUCAUGGGAGGGGAUCAAAAAACAGGAGUGACUGGCUCAACCCAGAAUGGCAGGGUAGAGCAUUUCCACAGAGACAUGACCUGUUCUAGGUCACUCACUAUUUGUUAAUCCUCAUGACAACAGAAGUGCAGAAACUGAGAGGAAGUUUUUAGAAAUUUUUAGAGUGAUUUACACGAUGACAUCCAAAUACAUGAUUGAUGUAUUUUACAGAAAAUCAGUCUCUAAUAUAAUUACAAUUAAAUAAAUAAAUAUGGUACUUUAAAAGAAAUUUAAAAGAGACUGAUCCUUCACCAGGCACAGAAGGAGAAAGGGAAUUCCAAAGAGAAAGCCCAACAUAUGCAAAUGUGCAGAGGGGUAUCAGGCACAAUGGCACACACCUGUAAUCCCAGCUACUCCCCAGGAUGCUGAGGCGGGAACAUUACACGUUUGAGGCCAGCGUGGGCAAUUUAGUGAGACCCUGCCUCAAAAUGAAAAUAAUAAAGGGCUUGAAAAGUAGCAUGGUGGUAGAGUGCCCCUGAGUUCAAACCCCAGUACCACAAAACAAAAAUGGUACAAAAAGAGAGAUUUUCACAAGGGCACAGCCUGACUGCAGCAGAGGGGCUCAGGAUGAGGCUGGAGAGCUGGAGAGUGGUAGGAGACAGCAAGAAAAGCAGGGGUGAGGCUGCGAAAGACCCUGCUGGGUGCAAACAUACCAUAAACUUUGUAUGAAAGUCUCACUGAUUUUUAAAAUCCAGUUGUGGGAUGUGAUGAGGAGCAGGUUUUCUCUUUGGAGGAGAUAUUCAUGUCACAAUAGCAAAGCAAGCCUUUGGGCCCCUCAUGAGAAACCACAGGCAGGCUCUUGGGAAUACUCUGGCCCUCUCAAUGGGCUGUGAGGCAUUCAGGCCUACUUAAAUGUCCAAAGAAAGUGUCUCUAAACCCUCAUAUCAUGCAAAACAAGGUAGGUGUGACCCAGUGGUAUCCAUGAAAAGGAAGCCUGGGCAGCAGCAGCCUAGGCGUCUCAGGGAGUUUGUAGCAAGAAGGAACAAAGAUGUCAGAAUCCUCAGCACUGACCCAUAUGGACCUUCUUUCUCUCUCUCUCUCCCCCAAGGUGAUACAGAUUUCAACAGGAGCCCACUGAGAGGAAGAAAAUGUGAAAAUGGAAAAUUGGGUCUAUCCUGAGAAUGUUUACUAUGCAAAGGAAAGUACAAGCCAGAAAAAGUCAAGUGCUGAAGAAUAAGAAUAGCAAUGGGGGAAAAUUAUUUUGGGGAUAUAAUAUCCAGUCAUUAGAGAAAUUAAACUUAGUGUGGCUUCUUUGGGGCUGCAUCAAAAAUUUGGAUUACAAUAACAAUUGGUCUGUUUUAGUUGAGAUCUUACAUGUUCAUGUCAACGACAGAAUAUGUGACCUGGCUGUUCUCUAGAAAGAAUUCCUCAUGUUGAUAAUUGUAAUGCCUGUCUCUGUCCCCAUAUAACCUAAAUAAAAGAAACAUGAAUAAGGGAUUGAGUAGA
This 4626-nucleotide long non-coding RNA is filed under the name Marmota monax (woodchuck). Lineage: Eukaryota; Metazoa; Chordata; Mammalia; Rodentia; Sciuridae. The record is from RNAcentral.